This 452-nucleotide ribosomal RNA is filed under the name uncultured bacterium. Its description in RNAcentral is "bacterial SSU rRNA". It matches the Rfam family "Bacterial small subunit ribosomal RNA", at positions 340 to 786 of the family's 1533-position model. The record is from RNAcentral.
UACGGGAGGCAGCAGUGGGGAAUAUUGCACAAUGGGCGCAAGCCUGAUGCAGCCAUGCCGCGUGUAUGAAGAAGGCCUUCGGGUUGUAAAGUACUUUCAGUCGUGAGGAAGGUGUUAAGGUUAAUAACCUUAGCAAUUGACGUUAGCGACAGAAGAAGCACCGGCUAACUCCGUGCCAGCAGCCGCGGUAAUACGGAGGGUGCGAGCGUUAAUCGGAAUUACUGGGCGUAAAGGGCACGCAGGCGGUUAAUUAAGUUGGAUGUGAAAUCCCCGGGCUUAACCUGGGAAUGGCAUUCAAGCUGGUUAGCUAGAGUCUUGUAGAGGGGGUAGAAUUCCAUGUGUAGCGGUGAAAUGCGUAGAGAUGUGGAGGAAUACCGGUGGCGAAGGCGGCCCCUGGACAAGACUGACGCUCAUGUGCGAAAGCGUGGGGAGCAAACGAGGGAUUAGAUACC